GAUGAACGCUGGCGGCGUGCCUAAUACAUGCAAGUCGAGCGAACGGACGAGAAGCUUGCUUCUCUGAUGUUAGCGGCGGACGGGUGAGUAACACGUGGAUAACCUACCUAUAAGACUGGGAUAACUUCGGGAAACCGGAGCUAAUACCGGAUAAUAUUUUGAACCGCAUGGUUCAAAAGUGAAAGACGGUCUUGCUGUCACUUAUAGAUGGAUCCGCGCUGCAUUAGCUAGUUGGUAAGGUAACGGCUUACCAAGGCAACGAUGCAUAGCCGACCUGAGAGGGUGAUCGGCCACACUGGAACUGAGACACGGUCCAGACUCCUACGGGAGGCAGCAGUAGGGAAUCUUCCGCAAUGGGCGAAAGCCUGACGGAGCAACGCCGCGUGAGUGAUGGAGGUCUUCGGAUCGUAAAACUCUGUUAUUAGGGAAGAACAUAUGUGUAAGUAACUGUGCACAUCUUGACGGUACCUAAUCAGAAAGCCACGGCUAACUACGUGCCAGCAGCCGCGGUAAUACGUAGGUGGCAAGCGUUAUCCGGAAUUAUUGGGCGUAAAGCGCGCGUAGGCGGUUUUUUAAGUCUGAUGUGAAAGCCCACGACUCAACCGUGGAGGGUCAUUGGAAACUGGAAAACUUGAGUGCAGAAGAGGAAAGUGGAAUUCCAUGUGUAGCGGUGAAAUGCGCAGAGAUAUGGAGGAACACCAGUGGCGAAGGCGACUUUCUGGUCUGUAACUGACGCUGAUGUGCGAAAGCGUGGGGAUCAAACAGGAUUAGAUACCCUGGUAGUCCACGCCGUAAACGAUGAGUGCUAAGUGUUAGGGGGUUUCCGCCCCUUAGUGCUGCAGCUAACGCAUUAAGCACUCCGCCUGGGGAGUACGACCGCAAGGUUGAAACUCAAAGGAAUUGACGGGGACCCGCACAAGCGGUGGAGCAUGUGGUUUAAUUCGAAGCAACGCGAAGAACCUUACCAAAUCUUGACAUCCUUUGACAACUCUAGAGAUAGAGCCUUCCCCUUCGGGGGACAAAGUGACAGGUGGUGCAUGGUUGUCGUCAGCUCGUGUCGUGAGAUGUUGGGUUAAGUCCCGCAACGAGCGCAACCCUUAAGCUUAGUUGCCAUCAUUAAGUUGGGCACUCUAAGUUGACUGCCGGUGACAAACCGGAGGAAGGUGGGGAUGACGUCAAAUCAUCAUGCCCCUUAUGAUUUGGGCUACACACGUGCUACAAUGGACAAUACAAAGGGCAGCGAAACCGCGAGGUCAAGCAAAUCCCAUAAAGUUGUUCUCAGUUCGGAUUGUAGUCUGCAACUCGACUACAUGAAGCUGGAAUCGCUAGUAAUCGUAGAUCAGCAUGCUACGGUGAAUACGUUCCCGGGUCU
Molecule: ribosomal RNA, 1372 nt
Filed under: uncultured bacterium
Lineage: Bacteria
Description: bacterial SSU rRNA
Rfam family: Bacterial small subunit ribosomal RNA
Source: RNAcentral